GCCGGGCACUGCGGCGCGUGCCUGUAGUCCCAGCUACUCGGGAGGCUGAGGCUGAAGGAUUGCUUGAGUCCAGGAGUUCUGGGCUGCGGUGUGCUAUGUGGAUCCGGUGUCCACACUAAGUUCGGCAUCAAUAUGGUGACCUCCCAGGAGCGGGGGACCACCAGGUUGCCUAAGGAGGGGUGAACCGGCCCAGGUCGGAAACGGAGCAGGUCAAAACUCCCGUGCUGAUCAGUAGUGGGAUCGUGCCUGUGAAUAGCCACUGCACUCCAGCCUGGGCAACAUAGCGAGACCUCGUCUCUA
Unclassified non-coding RNA from Callithrix jacchus (white-tufted-ear marmoset), 300 nucleotides. It matches the Rfam family "Metazoan signal recognition particle RNA". From Rfam's summary of the family: The signal recognition particle (SRP) is a universally conserved ribonucleoprotein. It is involved in the co-translational targeting of proteins to membranes. The eukaryotic SRP consists of a 300-nucleotide 7S RNA and six proteins: SRPs 72, 68, 54, 19, 14, and 9. The record is from Ensembl. NCBI's taxonomy places the organism in Eukaryota, Metazoa, Chordata, Mammalia, Primates, Cebidae.